AGAGUUUGAUCCUGGCUCAGGAUGAACGCUGGCGGCGUGCUUAACGCAUGCAAGUCGAACGGGAAAUAUUUCAUUGAGACUUCGGUGGAUUUGAUCUAUUUCUAGUGGCGGACGGGUGAGUAACGCGUGGGUAACCUGCCUUAUACAGGGGGAUAACAGUCAGAAAUGGCUGCUAAUACCGCAUAAGCGCACAGAGCUGCAUGGCUCAGUGUGAAAAACUCCGGUGGUAUAAGAUGGACCCGCGUUGGAUUAGCUAGUUGGUGGGGUGACGGCCCACCAAGGCGACGAUCCAUAGCCGGCCUGAGAGGGUGAACGGCCACAUUGGGACUGAGACACGGCCCAGACUCCUACGGGAGGCAGCAGUGGGGAAUAUUGCACAAUGGGGGAAACCCUGAUGCAGCGACGCCGCGUGGAGGAAGAAGGUCUUCGGAUUGUAAACUCCUGUUGUUGAGGAAGAUAAUGACGGUACUCGACAAGGAAGUGACGGCUAACUACGUGCCAGCAGCCGCGGUAAAACGUAGGUCACAAGCGUUGUCCGGAAUUACUGGGUGUAAAGGGAGCGCAGGCGGGAAGACAAGUUGGAAGUGAAAUCUAUGGGCUCAACCCAUAAACUGCUUUCAAAACUGUUUUUCUUGAGUAGUGCAGAGGUAGGCGGAAUUCCCGGUGUAGCGGUGGAAUGCGUAGAUAUCGGGAGGAACACCAGUGGCGAAGGCGGCCCUCUGGGCCGAGACCGACGCUGAGGCGCGAAAGCUGGGGGAGCGAACAGGAUUAGAUACCCUGGUAGUCCCAGCCGUAAACGAUGGACGCUAGGUGUGGGGGGACGAUCCCCCCGUGCCGCAGCCAACGCAUUAAGCGUCCCGCCUGGGGAGUACGUUCGCAAGAAUGAAACUCAAAGGAAUUGACGGGGACCCGCACAAGCGGUGGAGCAUGUGGUUUAAUUCGAAGCAACGCGAAGAACCUUACCAAAUCUUGACAUCCCUCUGACCGGUCCUUAAUCGGACCUUCUCUUCGGAGCAGAGGAGACAGGUGGUGCAUGGUUGUCGUCAGCUCGUGUCGUGAGAUGUUGGGUUAAGUCCCGCAACGAGCGCAACCCCUAUCCUCAGUAGCCAGCAUUUAAGGUGGGCACUCUGGGGAGACUGCCAGGGAUAACCUGGAGGAAGGCGGGGAUGACGUCAAAUCAUCAUGCCCCUUAUGAUUUGGGCUACACACGUGCUACAAUGGCGUAAACAAAGGGAAGCGAGAUCGUGAGAUGGAGCAAAUCCCAAAAAUAACGUCCCAGUUCGGACUGUAGUCUGCAACCCGACUACACGAAGCUGGAAUCGCUAGUAAUCGCGGAUCAGAAUGCCGCGGUGAAUACGUUCCCGGGUCUUGCAC
This 1374-nucleotide ribosomal RNA is filed under the name uncultured bacterium. RNAcentral's name for it is "16S ribosomal RNA". It matches the Rfam family "Bacterial small subunit ribosomal RNA", at positions 8 to 1386 of the family's 1533-position model. The record is from RNAcentral.